GUUGAGAGAGAUUGUCGAAGAGGAUCGAGCUACAUUAUUCCAUGCCAUUAUGAAAAAUGAGAAGGCUUCUAAUAUGGGAAGUCUGCAGGAAUAAGUCCUUGUACCCAAUAAGGCACUGUGGUGAGCCAGAUAUCGGCUUGGUGUGGAAAUAAUGUGUUCCAACACUGUGGUGAGCCAGAUAUCGGCUUGGUGCGGAAAUAACGUGUUCCAACACAUUUGGAGGCGGAUUCAGGAUUUAAAGUCAGUACGUGUGAAAUGCUAGUGUAUUUAGUGCUUAUUUGUGACAAUGGGUAAGGACUCGGUAUAAAUAAGUGGGCUUUAAUAUUUGAACUAUAUAUGUAACUCGAGCUGAAUACAGCGAGAGGCAGAUUCGGGAUUUUAAGCAAGUAGGCGCUAACUGCUCUACUCUGUUUGUAUUAUGCUUCUUUGUGGCAAUGUGUAAGGACUCGGUAUAAAUAAGUUGUAUUUUUUUUGUUUGAAUUGUAGUAUAUCUGUAACUUCAGCUGAAUAUCUGUGCUUGCCUUCUGUCUUUUUUCGACCUUCUCUUCCAAUCUGGAAGGGGCUUACCUAGUCUCAAGAUCUUCAAGUUUAUAACUGAUAUUUUUUAAAGGCAGAAUAGCUAAAUAACACUUAUACUUGUG
This 641-nucleotide long non-coding RNA is filed under the name Nicotiana benthamiana. RNAcentral's name for it is "long non-coding RNA (NBEN_LNC037534)". Lineage: Eukaryota; Viridiplantae; Streptophyta; Magnoliopsida; Solanales; Solanaceae. The record is from RNAcentral.